Molecule: ribosomal RNA, 253 nt
Filed under: uncultured bacterium
Lineage: Bacteria
Description: partial 16S ribosomal RNA
Rfam family: Bacterial small subunit ribosomal RNA
Source: RNAcentral
UACGCAGGUGGCGAGCGUUGCCCGGAAUUACUGGGCGUAAAGGGUGCGUAGGCGGCCGGACAAGUCGUAGGUUAAAGCCCGGGGCUCAACCCCGGAAAGGCCUACGAUACUGUCUGGCUUGAGGGCUGGAGAGGCUGGCGGAAUUCCCGGUGUAGGGGUGAAAUCCGUAGAGAUCGGGAGGAACACCGGAGGGGAAGCCGGCCAGCUGGACAGCUCCUGACGAUGAGGCACGAAAGUGUGGGGAGCAAACCGG